UUAAAAGUCAUCAGAUACAAAACUUCGCUGGUUGAAUUCCACUAGCGGAAUGCGGGCUACUUCUAGCGACUCUUGCCCUUUACCCUUCUGGCACCUUUGAUGAAGUAAAGGGCAGUCGUAGAUAUACAAUCGCAAAAGAGAGGAAGGCAGACCAUUCUUCGGAAAGGAGACAAGCUUAGGGCAACUAACCACCUCAAGAUGUUUAAUCGACGUGAGGCUUUGGAAACCUUUGUUAGAAAGGUAUUUCAGGUCUUUGAAUCCUUCAAUGGUAAGACUGAUAAGAGAGGCAGGCAACUCCAUAUUUAGC
Molecule: unclassified non-coding RNA, 307 nt
Filed under: Hevea brasiliensis (rubber tree)
Lineage: Eukaryota; Viridiplantae; Streptophyta; Magnoliopsida; Malpighiales; Euphorbiaceae
Source: RNAcentral